GAUAACAUUGGCCUGGUGUUAGUAAAGACAGGAUCAUAUAUUAUCUGUGCCACUUACAGGGAGGGGAUGUAUCCAAGUGUGUGUGUUGAAGCUGCAGAGAAACUUGGUGAUUACUUUAGAUCAAAGGGUAAAUGAAAGGAUCAAAGACUUGUUUACUUAUUGGUGCUACAGACAAACAGAAAAAGCAGAGAAUGCAACAAAGCCAAUUGGUAAAUCAAGUCUACAUCCAAAGACCACGUGUAUUACGGACUCUACUCCCCCAUUUCUAUUGCAUACGUGCAUUGAAUGUUUUAUUACAAGAUAGAUAACAAGCCUUGUAAAUCAUUGUAGAAAUCUGUAAAGAGGGAGUUUGCUCAUAAAAGUACAAUUCAAAAACUAGUGUAAAAUUGUUUUUCCACACUGAAAUUUCUCAAUCCUCUACGUCUUUGUAUUUCUAUGUAAUUAAAUUAAUGCAUUUUUUCAGAAAAUCA
Long non-coding RNA from Rhincodon typus (whale shark), 470 nucleotides. RefSeq lists it as uncharacterized. Lineage: Eukaryota; Metazoa; Chordata; Chondrichthyes; Orectolobiformes; Rhincodontidae. The record is from RefSeq and is a predicted model, not a curated record. The transcript is spliced from 2 exons.